UAACUCUGGUUUCUCUUCAGGUCUUAUAAAUUUUUUGCCUUUUAGUAAAGAUUUCUGUGGAGAGGAACAUUGAUGAUUUACAGUGCAACCUUGGUUUUCGUUGGUAAUCAGUCCGAAA
This is a small nuclear RNA of Sphaerodactylus townsendi, 118 nucleotides long. RefSeq annotates it as U5 spliceosomal RNA. The transcript has a single exon. Lineage: Eukaryota; Metazoa; Chordata; Lepidosauria; Squamata; Sphaerodactylidae. The record is from RefSeq and is a predicted model, not a curated record.